Molecule: ribosomal RNA, 832 nt
Filed under: Citrobacter freundii
Lineage: Bacteria; Pseudomonadati; Pseudomonadota; Gammaproteobacteria; Enterobacterales; Enterobacteriaceae
Description: partial 23S ribosomal RNA
Rfam family: Bacterial large subunit ribosomal RNA
Source: RNAcentral
GGGUUGUGAGGUUAAGCGACUAAGCGUACACGGUGGAUGCCCUGGCAGUCAGAGGCGAUGAAGGACGUGCUAAUCUGCGAUAAGCGUCGGUAAGGUGAUAUGAACCGUUAUAACCGGCGAUUUCCGAAUGGGGAAACCCAGUGUGAUCCGUCACACUAUCAUUACGUGAAUACAUAGCGUAAUGAAGCGAACCGGGGGAACUGAAACAUCUAAGUACCCCGAGGAAAAGAAAUCAACCGAGAUUCCCCCAGUAGCGGCGAGCGAACGGGGAACAGCCCAGAGUCUGAAUCAGCUUGUGUGUUAGUGGAACGGUCUGGAAAGUCCGACGGUACAGGGUGAUAGUCCCGUACACCAAAAUGCACAGGUUGUGAACUCGAAGAGUAGGGCGGGACACGUGGUAUCCUGUCUGAAUAUGGGGGGACCAUCCUCCAAGGCUAAAUACUCCUGACUGACCGAUAGUGAACCAGUACCGUGAGGGAAAGGCGAAAAGAACCCCGGCGAGGGGAGUGAAAAAGAACCUGAAACCGUGUACGUACAAGCAGUGGGAGCCUCUUUAUGGGGUGACUGCGUACCUUUUGUAUAAUGGGUCAGCGACUUAUAUUCUGUAGCAAGGUUAACCGUAUAGGGGAGCCGAAGGGAAACCGAGUCUUAACUGGGCGUUAAGUUGCAGGGUAUAGACCCGAAACCCGGUGAUCUAGCCAUGGGCAGGUUGAAGGUUGGGUAACACUAACUGGAGGACCGAACCGACUAAUGUUGAAAAAUUAGCGGAUGACUUGUGGCUGGGGGUGAAAGGCCAAUCAAACCGGGAGAUAGCUGGUUCUCCCCGAAAGCU